Pelobates cultripes (western spadefoot toad) is the source of this 159-nucleotide non-coding RNA. Lineage: Eukaryota; Metazoa; Chordata; Amphibia; Anura; Pelobatidae. The record is from the annotation of a GenBank genome assembly.
GCUGACACAUCCCGGUCAAUCUCCAGCAGACCCUCCCUCCCAGACCCUCCCACCUCCUGGACAGCAUCCAUGUUGAAGCUGCCUUCAACAUGGAUGCUGUCCAGGAGGUGGGAGGGUCUGGGAGGGAGGGUCUGCUGGAGAUUGGCCGGGAUGUGUCAG